GACGUAGGGGGCGAGCGUUGUCCGGAAUCACUGGGCGUAAAGAGCUCGUAGGCGGGUCGGUGCGUCGCGGAGUAAAUCCAUCUGCUUAACGGGUGGUUCAUCUGCGAUACGGCCGACCUUGAGGACAGGAGAGGAAAGCGGAAUUCCGAGUGUAGCGGUGAAAUGCGUAGAUAUUCGGAGGAACACCAGUGGCGAAGGCGGCUUUCUGGCCUGAUUCUGACGCUGAGGAGCGAAAGCCAGGGGAGCAAACGGG
This 253-nucleotide ribosomal RNA is filed under the name uncultured bacterium. Its description in RNAcentral is "partial 16S ribosomal RNA". It matches the Rfam family "Bacterial small subunit ribosomal RNA", at positions 524 to 776 of the family's 1533-position model. The record is from RNAcentral.